Tribolium castaneum (red flour beetle) is the source of this 2860-nucleotide long non-coding RNA. RefSeq lists it as uncharacterized. NCBI's taxonomy places the organism in Eukaryota, Metazoa, Arthropoda, Insecta, Coleoptera, Tenebrionidae. The transcript has 2 exons. The record is from RefSeq and is a predicted model, not a curated record.
UAUCAUUAAUAGAUCCAAUAUACCUAACCUAACUAUUGAUAUUGUUGAUCAAGACCAUCGUCCUAUAGAUUUUAACGGUCAAACAAUCAAUAUUCGUCUUGCUCUGAAAAAAGAAGCAUAAACAUGGGUUUAGUGUUUCAAAAUCAAUAUAAAAAAUCAUACAAUCCAUCAAAUUAUCAGUCAGUAUCUUGUCAUCAGUCGACAUUAUCACAUCAGAGCGUGCAGAUUCUUAAAUCGUUAGGAUAUAAUGUCCGCCAGCAAACUUCAGGUUUACAGUUCACCGGAAAUAGACGACAGCAUAAGUAAAGAGGAAGAACAUACAUAUAGUCCGCAAGUAAGAUCUUUCGAUAACAAUGAUGAAAUCGAAAUUAUAAUUAAUCAGAGAGAUAUUUGGAUUUCUCUCUUUGAAUCAUUUAUACAAGUGGACGGUGAGUUCAUACCAGAUCCGGUACCGGAAACUGGCGGUGGAAAUGUAACCUUGACUAAUAAUGCAGCAGCAUAUUUAUUUGAGAAUGUAAGCUAUGAAUUGAAUAAUGUUGAGUUAGAUAGUGUACGUGAAGUCGGAACAGUAUCUACAAUCAAAACUUUUCUAUGUUAUGGCAAAGAUGAAGUAAGAGCAUUAACUCUCGCUGGAUGGAAUGAUCAAGAAAGUCAACAACUGAAGACAUUUAAUGAAACUGAUAAUACGUUUUCAUUUAGAAUCCCUUUAUCUUAUCUGUUAAAUUUACCAUUUGAUUAUCAUCGGAUAGUUAGCGGUCAUCAAAAACUUCGAUUAAUACGAAGUCGUAACGAUGCUAAUUGUUUCAUUUCUACCGGAACGAGAAAAGCGACACUUAAGAUUAACAAUAUUGAAUUAAAAGCAAAACAUGUUUACCCAAAUGAUGAAAUUAAAUUAACUAUAUUAGAAGGGAUCAACAAAGAUCGUGUUAUAUCGUUACCGUUCAGAAAAUGGGAAAUUCAUGAACUUCCAUCAGUUCGACAAACUAAUAACGACAUCUGGAGAGUUAAAACAUCUACUCAAUUAGAAAGACCAAGAUUUAUUAUCGUUUGCUUUCAAACAAACCGAAAAAAUAAUCCAAAGUCUGAUGUUACUCUAUUUGAUCAUUGUGAUGUAAGAAGCGUACGUUUAUGGUUGAAUUCAAAUGUUUAUCCAUAUGAAACAUGGAAACUACAAUUUGCUAAAAAUAAAUAUUUAGAAGCAUAUCAAGCUUACGUUGAUUUUUAUAAGGAAUUUAAUGGAAAAGAUCGUGCUGAACCUAUAUUAAGCUAUACAGAUUAUACAAAAAGACCGAUAUUUGUAUUAGACUGUUCCAAGCAAAACGAAGCAAUUCGAAGUUCCACCAUUGAUAUCAGCUUAGAAUUUGAAAGCGAUAAUAAUUUCCCAGCCGAUACAAGAGCUUAUUGUAUUAUCAUUCAUGAUAGAAUAAUGCAGUACUAUCCGUUAACAGGAAUAAUUAGACAACUGAUAUAAGGAUGAAAAAAAGUGUUACUAUAAGUGAUAGUGCUCCGGAAGUACAUAAUCUAAUAGUUUGGUCAUAUGCUUAUCAAGAUGCUAGAAAAGGAAACUAUUGGAUACAAUGCGCUGCAGACAGAGAAAGGUUUAAGUUUAGAAUUAAUCAAAUGAAAAAUAUUUUAAAGGAGAUCUUAAAUUCUGCUCAUCGUGAACAAAUUUUUCAGUCUAGAUUUAAGUGUUCAACAUGAAGGUAGUAGUGAUUGAUGUUCAAGGAUUUUAUAUACCUGAAUUCAUCGUUAAAGAAUUAACAAUAUUUGAUGGACAUCGAACUGGUCACUAUUUGUUUAAAUCACCGGUGCCGUUUCGUCAACUAAGUGCAGAUGUAAAAAAACAAGUGAAAUAUUUAGAAUUAAAUCAUCAUCUAUUACGUUACAACAGUGGAAAUAUCGACUAUGAAAAUAUUUAUAACAUACUAGAAGAAAAUAUUAUCGAUGAUGUUAUCGAUAUUAUUUACGUAAAAGGAAGCGUUAAAGAGGAUUUUUUAAGACAAUUUUUCGAUUCAAAGGACUUUUACCCUAGGAUCAUCAAUUUGGAGGAAGCAAACUCUUGUCCAAAAUUGCAACCACAACUUCCGUUAUGUAUGCAUCAUUACUUAAAAACUAAAAUAUGUAUCUGUAGUCUUAAUAAUGUACGGUUUAUUUAUAAUUAUGUAAUUCAGAAUUUACCGAAAUAAACGUUUAAAGUUUUAAUCUCGUUUCCUUCUCCUACUUCAUUAACCUGCCCUCUCCACUCUAGUUAAGAUUACAAAAAGUAUAAAGGGAUCAACUUUUAGUGUGUGAAAUAAUUUUUAUUGAAAUAUCAACAGUCAACACAACCAUCAUGUCUAAACAUCCCGCAGGUUACUAUGGGGACUAUAACCCAGAUUUGGUUGUUAACCACGCUGGGUUAACCGAAGAGGAGGUGGACCACCUCCUCACCCAAAUUCCCGCGGGCACCUUCGAGUGGGUUUCCCUUAUUAACAUCUAUCUGCGACUGGAACCGCCCCCAUCCCUUGGAGGUUAUUUUGAUAUUUUUACCGUGGGGCGCUUGACCGCCGCGAUAGACACCGAUGAGGAGCGGGGUAUAAUUGACAUUUGGGUAUGGGUACAUUAAACCUCAUACAUGUUGGAUCGUUUUAUGAUGUUCAUAGCGUUUUUUAUGAUGUUCAUAGCGUUAGGUUUGGCUUAAAAACUGCAAUUAAAAAUUUAUUUAGGUGUAUGACUUUUUUAGUUUAAGUAUGUAGUUUGUUUUAUGUAUAAUAAAAAAUAAUAUUCAUUCUGAUUAUUUUUGUGAUCUUAUUUCCUGUCUAACGUUUUUUUCUUGUAAAUUUAUGAAUCAAAAAUUUUAUAAAUAUCCAGUUGUAUUUGA